Molecule: long non-coding RNA, 829 nt
Filed under: Volvox carteri
Lineage: Eukaryota; Viridiplantae; Chlorophyta; Chlorophyceae; Chlamydomonadales; Volvocaceae
Description: long non-coding RNA (VCAR_LNC000007)
Source: RNAcentral
AAAGGAGACCCUGCAGCUGUCCAUCACAUUACAUGUGCAUUCGUCCGAAAAUAAACGUGCAUCCAUGACCACAGUCGUUUCUUGCCCCCCUUCCCCUUCGCCUUUGUUUCCAUGAGGGGAUAUCCGCUUCAGUUAAGACGACAUCAGGCACAGAACGGCUGCGCGUUGAGGCGGCCUUUGCUGUCAUCAUGGCUGUUGCAAUCUCCACCGCCCACAUCUGUGGCCCAUUGCUUCACCAUGUCCAAGGGGUGGUUGAGUGCAGCAGCAGCGGGACAUGUGUCAGUCAAUUAAGUUAUAGACAAAUAGGCUUAGUGGAAUAAAUAUUGACAGGUUGCUAUACUGAAGCACACAAUUAACACGAUGUCGCAAAACCAUGCAAUUCUUGAUGAGCACCCAACCAGCCUAUUUGUAACCCUGACAUGAAAACCAACACAAAACUUGACAGGAAUUCACUUUCUGAUCUGCUGCUAGGUGAUCUGGUCCAGUGCUCGACAUCCAUUGGUCGUGGGGUCUGGCUGCUGCUUGAAACAGCUUCAAGAGACUGCUCUGCCUCCUCGACACUCAUUGCUAAAAUACAUCUGCAUUGAAAACAAAUAGAAGGGCAAAGAACAAAAAAACAUUACAUUAGUUAUCAUGCUUGUGUGCAGGAGCAUCGGACUGCAACCCCUGACGGCGGUGAAUAGCUAGCGUACAUGUCAGAAUAACAGAUAGAAGCAGGUAACAAAGUUCUGUGACGAUGAGUCAUGGUGUGGCCGCCGGCAAUGUGGACCUGGUCAACACAGUCCCGAGUACCUGACCGGGCCUGACACUGCCCAGGGGCACCUAACCG